This 775-nucleotide ribosomal RNA is filed under the name uncultured Neocallimastigales. Its description in RNAcentral is "partial large subunit ribosomal RNA". It matches the Rfam family "Eukaryotic large subunit ribosomal RNA", at positions 24 to 643 of the family's 3401-position model. The record is from RNAcentral. Lineage: Eukaryota; Fungi; Neocallimastigomycota; Neocallimastigomycetes; Neocallimastigales.
UAUGUGAUCGUCUCUCGCAUAUCAAUAAGCGGAGGAAAAGAAACUAACAAGGAUUCCCCUAGUAACGGCGAGUGAAGCGGGAAGAGCUCAAAUUUGAAAUCUUAAAGGGUUUCCCUUUACGAAUUGUAGUUUAAAGAAGUGUUUUCUGUUGAGGUUUUGGUAAAAGUUCUUUGGAAUAGGACAUCAUAGAGGGUGAGAAUCCCGUAUUUGACCUUUACUUUCAACUUUGUGAUACACUUUCAAAGAGUCGGAUUGUUUGGGAAUGCAGUCCAAAAUGGGUGGUAAAUUUCAUCUUAAGCUAAAUAUUGGCGAGAGACCGAUAGCGAACAAGUACCGUGAGGGAAAGAUGAAAAGAACUUUGAAAAGAGAGUUAAACAGUACGUGAAAUUGUCAAAAGGGAAGCGUUUGACACCAGUGUUGUUUUUCUGAAAAUCAAUUAAAGAACUGUUUAUGCUAAGUUGUUUAGACUUUAUCAGCUAACUGUUUAGUUUUGAGCUUUUCUUUAAUGCACUUUUCAGUUAACAAGUCAACAUCAAUUUCUUUUGCUGUAAAAAAGCUUGAGGAAGGUGGCUUGAGAUUCGUCUUAAGUGUUUAUAGCCUCUUGCCUAUGCAGUCGGAGAGAUUGAGGUCUGCUAGCGUAGAUCCUUCGGGGCUAAAUGCAUUUGUGCUAAGUUAUAGCAUUUUAUAGACAACUUGUUGACUAUGAUUUGUCUUGUAGCUUACUCGCUUAUGUUAUUUUACCUACGCUUAGGAUGUUGACACACGCGCGUGCUCG